Molecule: long non-coding RNA, 1296 nt
Organism: Heterocephalus glaber (naked mole-rat)
Lineage: Eukaryota; Metazoa; Chordata; Mammalia; Rodentia; Bathyergidae
Source: Ensembl
CCUGAGACAGCCGCACAAAGAGGAGGCCCCUGGCCGCUCCCGCCUUCCAUUGAUCCUGGCCCUUUGUGGCUCUGACGACGACGGGGGCGCGAGAGGCGCCGCGCAGGGACUUGGCCCAUUCUCAUUAGGGGACCCCUGUCCCGCCAGCCCUCACCACGGGUCCUCCUCCACAGAUGAGGAAAUGGCAAUGGCACCCACCAAGCAGCUGUGGUUUGGGAGCUGGGAUAUCGCUAUGUGGAAGCCCGUGGCACUUUGCUCUGGAUGCUGAACAGAGGAGGAAGAAGGGAAGAGAGCCUGGGCAGCUGGCUGGGAAAAGGCAGAGGGUGCUUUCCUGUCGCUGCCUGCUCUUGCUAAGCAUUGGGAGAAGAGGGAGAAUGUGGAAGGAGAGUGCACACCUGGGAGCUGCAUCCACUGGCUGACCAGAAAACAUUUAAUUUCCACCCUGGGCGUAGUCCAUGGCCAGCUUCCUUGUGGUGCGCUGUUUCUGUCUGCCUUUUGUCUGUGGCUGGUGGUGUCAGAGCCCGUAACUAUCUGUUUACAGUUUCAGACAGAAGCAUUAAUUGCCUUUUGAACCUCCCCUUUUCCCCUAAGACUCCCUGCUCAACUAUAUUAACUGUCUCGCUUGGUUUCUUUCUGCACAAAGAGAAAUGCCUGUCUCCCCUAAAACCUGACCACCUGCAAAUCCCCACCGUACUCUCUUAUGCAUAGGUGAUGCGAGAACAAACGUGUAGCCAGCACAUGUCUGCAUAGAGACAGGGUAUACAGGACAAGUUGUCACAGUCCAGAAGGUUCCAGCCAGCUGUGGGGUGGUAGGAAGAAUAUCGGAAUUGGAGUCAGACAGUAUUUGAAAUCUGCUUUGGUUGUUGACUUGCUGUGUGACCUGGGGCAAGUUACUUCAUCUUGCUGCGCCUCGGUUUUCUCAUCUAUGAAGUGGACACGACAGUACCUGCUUCACAAGGCUGGAUAAUGUCGCUCCUUGAUGAAAGCACUUUGUUCUGGAAAAGCACGUUUCUCUGCUCUUUGCUUGCCUGGUAUGGGUUUAAAGGUGGUAGAAAGAGGAAACUAAAUGAUAGGUAAUAGAAGUAGGGAGAUCUUUCCCAAUGGGGAAAAGGAAUAAGAAAUGGAGGGGGGAGGGAGGAGAGGGAGAGAGGAAGGAAAAUAAAAAGAAUGCAGAAAAAAAUGGAAAUAGAGCUUUUGUAAAUGGAAAGGGGGCCGAGAGAGUUGGAAGGGGCAGGGAGGGACUGGAUGGGUAGGGAGUAAAAAAAGAGUUAAGGGAGGGCCGGGGAUUUAGUUCAG